RNAcentral lists this small nucleolar RNA (72 nucleotides) under Mustela putorius furo (domestic ferret). RNAcentral's name for it is "Small nucleolar RNA SNORD112 (ENSMPUG00000022124.1)". The record is from RNAcentral. Lineage: Eukaryota; Metazoa; Chordata; Mammalia; Carnivora; Mustelidae.
UGGACCAAUGAUGGGAAUGUGUCAUGAACUAAGGGUAUGAAUUGAUCCAGUUCUGAGCACCAGAUAUCCAUU